UCCCACAUAGUGUAGUGGUUAGCAUGUCAGGUUUUCACCUCCUCUCUCCUUACGCUUCUUAGCAGAGAGCCGCACAGUUAAUACCCUGGAGACCCGGGUUCAAACCCCGGUGUGGGAA
Transfer RNA from Podospora anserina, 118 nucleotides. It matches the Rfam family "tRNA". From Rfam's summary of the family: Transfer RNA (tRNA) molecules are approximately 80 nucleotides in length. Their secondary structure includes four short double-helical elements and three loops (D, anti-codon, and T loops). Further hydrogen bonds mediate the characteristic L-shaped molecular structure. tRNAs have two regions of fundamental functional importance: the anti-codon, which is responsible for specific mRNA codon recognition, and the 3' end, to which the tRNAs corresponding amino acid is attached (by aminoacyl-tRNA synthetases). tRNAs cope with the degeneracy of the genetic code in two manners: having more than one tRNA (with a specific anti-codon) for a particular amino acid; and 'wobble' base-pairing, i.e. permitting non-standard base-pairing at the 3rd anti-codon position. Lineage: Eukaryota; Fungi; Ascomycota; Sordariomycetes; Sordariales; Podosporaceae. The record is from Rfam.